This 386-nucleotide ribosomal RNA is filed under the name uncultured Bacteroidales bacterium. Its description in RNAcentral is "bacterial SSU rRNA". It matches the Rfam family "Bacterial small subunit ribosomal RNA", at positions 253 to 636 of the family's 1533-position model. The record is from RNAcentral. Lineage: Bacteria; Pseudomonadati; Bacteroidota; Bacteroidia; Bacteroidales.
UGGGGUAACGGCCCACCAAGGCAACGAUCAGUAGGGGUUCUGAGAGGAAGGUCCCCCACAUUGGAACUGAGACACGGUCCAAACUCCUACGGGAGGCAGCAGUGAGGAAUAUUGGUCAAUGGACGAGAGUCUGAACCAGCCAAGUAGCGUGCAGGAUGACGGCCCUAUGGGUUGUAAACUGCUUUUAUAAGGGAAUAAAGUGAGUUUCGUGAGACUUUUUGCAUGUACCUUAUGAAUAAGCAUCGGCUAACUCCGUGCCAGCAGCCGCGGUAAUACGGAGGAUGCGAGCGCUAUCCGGAUUUAUUGGGUUUAAAGGGAGCGCAGACGGGUCGUUAAGUCAGCUGUGAAAGUUUGGGGCUCAACCUUAAAAUUGCAGUUGAUACUGG